This 465-nucleotide ribosomal RNA is filed under the name uncultured bacterium. RNAcentral's name for it is "partial 16S ribosomal RNA". It matches the Rfam family "Bacterial small subunit ribosomal RNA", at positions 28 to 507 of the family's 1533-position model. The record is from RNAcentral.
GACGAACGCUGGCGGCGUGCUUAACACAUGCAAGUCGAACGGAAAGGCCCCUUUUGGGGUACUCGAGUGGCGAACGGGUGAGUAACACGUGCGUAACCUGCCCUUGACUUCGGGUUAACUUCAGGAAACUGGGGCUAAUACCGGCUAGGAAUCCUUGCUGCAUGGUGGGGGUUGGAAAGCUUCGGCGGUUUUGGAUGGACUCGCGGCUUAUCAGCUUGUUGGUGGGGUAGUGGCUUACCAAGGCUUUGACGGGUAGCCGGCCUGGGAGGGCGACCGGCCACAUUGGGACUGGGAUACGGCCCAGACUCCUACGGGGAGCAGCAGUGGGGAAUAUUGCACAAUGGGCGGGAGCCUGAUGCAGCAACGCCGCGUGCGGGAUGACUGCCUUCGGGUUGUAAACCGCUUUCAGCAGGGGCGAAGCUUGUGGUGACGGUACCUGCAGAAGAAGCACCGGCUAACUACGUG